Molecule: ribosomal RNA, 2599 nt
Filed under: human gut metagenome
Description: bacterial LSU rRNA
Rfam family: Bacterial large subunit ribosomal RNA
Source: RNAcentral
UUAAGUUAAUAAGGGCGCACGGUGGAUGCCUUGGCACUAGAAGCCGAUGAAGGACGUGACUAACGACGAAAUGCUUUGGGGAGCUGUAAGUGAGCAAUGAUCCAGAGAUGUCCGAAUGGGGGAACCCGGCAGGUAAUGCCUGUCACUUAUUACUGUUAAGGUAAUGUAGAGGAAGACGCAGUGAACUGAAACAUCUAAGUAGCUGCAGGAAGAGAAAGCAAAAGCGAUUGCCUUAGUAGCGGCGAGCGAAACGGCAAGAGGGCAAACCGAAGAGUUUACUCUUCGGGGUUGUAGGACUGCAACGUGGACUUAAAGAUUAUAGAAGAACUACCUGGGAAGGUAGGCCAAAGAGAGUAAUAGCCUCGUAUUCGAAAUAGUCUUUAUACCUAGCAGUAUCCUGAGUACGGCGAGACACGAGAAAUCUCGUCGGAAUCUGGGAGGACCAUCUCCCAACCCUAAAUACUCUCUAGUGACCGAUAGUGAACCAGUACCGUGAGGGAAAGGUGAAAAGCACCCCGGGAGGGGAGUGAAAUAGAACCUGAAACCGUGUGCCUACAACAAGUUCGAGCCCGUUAAUGGGUGAGAGCGUGCCUUUUGUAGAAUGAACCGGCGAGUUACGAUAUGAUGCGAGGUUAAGUUGAAGAAACGGAGCCGUAGGGAAACCGAGUCUUAAUAGGGCGCAUUAGUAUCAUGUCGUAGACCCGAAACCAUGUGACCUACCCAUGAGCAGGUUGAAGGUGAGGUAAAACUCACUGGAGGACCGAACCAGGGCACGUUGAAAAGUGCUUGGAUGACUUGUGGGUAGCGGAGAAAUUCCAAACGAACUUGGAGAUAGCUGGUUCUCUCCGAAAUAGCUUUAGGGCUAGCGUCGAUGUUAAGUCUCUUGGAGGUAGAGCACUGUUUGGGUGAGGGGUCCAUCCCGGAUUACCAAUCUCAGAUAAACUCCGAAUGCCAAUGAGAUAUAAUCGGCAGUCAGACUGCGAGUGCUAAGAUCCGUAGUCGAAAGGGAAACAGCCCAGACCACCAGCUAAGGUCCCAAAAUAUAUGUUAAGUGGAAAAGGAUGUGGGGUUGCACAGACAACUAGGAUGUUAGCUUAGAAGCAGCUAUUCAUUCAAAGAGUGCGUAAUAGCUCACUAGUCGAGUGACCCUGCGCCGAAAAUGUACCGGGGCUAAAACAUAUUACCGAAGCUGUGGAUACCUUUAUAGGUAUGGUAGGAGAGCGUUCUAUGUGCGAAGAAGGUGUACCGUGAGGAGUGCUGGAGCGCAUAGAAGUGAGAAUGCCGGUAUGAGUAGCGAAAGACAGGUGAGAAUCCUGUCCACCGUAAGACUAAGGUUUCCAGGGGAAGGCUCGUCCGCCCUGGGUUAGUCGGGACCUAAGGAGAGACCGAAAGGUGUAUCCGAUGGACAACAGGUUGAUAUUCCUGUACUAGAGUAUAUAGUGAUGGAGGGACGCAGUAGGCUAACUAAACCAGACGAUUGGAAGUGUCUGGCCAAGCAGUGAGGUGUGAUAUGAGUCAAAUGCUUAUAUCUCUAACAUUGAGCUGUGAUGGGGAGCGAAGUUUAGUAGCGAAGUUAGUGAUGUCACACUGCCGAGAAAAGCUUCUAGCGUUAAUUAUACUCUACCCGUACCGCAAACCGACACAGGUAGUCGAGGCGAGUAGCCUCAGGUGAGCGAGAGAACUCUCGUUAAGGAACUCGGCAAAAUGGCCCCGUAACUUCGGGAGAAGGGGCGCUGACUGAUGGUCAGCCGCAGUGAAUAGGCCCAAGCAACUGUUUAUCAAAAACACAGCUCUCUGCUAAAUCGUAAGAUGAUGUAUAGGGGGUGACGCCUGCCCGGUGCUGGAAGGUUAAGAGGAGUGCUUAGCGUAAGCGAAGGUAUGAAUUGAAGCCCCAGUAAACGGCGGCCGUAACUAUAACGGUCCUAAGGUAGCGAAAUUCCUUGUCGGGUAAGUUCCGACCCGCACGAAAGGCGUAAUGAUUUGGGCACUGUCUCAACGAGAGACUCGGUGAAAUUUUAGUACCUGUGAAGAUGCAGGUUACCCGCGACAGGACGGAAAGACCCCAUGGAGCUUUACUGCAGUUUGAUAUUGAGUAUCUGUACCACAUGUACAGGAUAGGUAGGAGCCUAUGACCUCGGGACGCCAGUUUCGAGUGAGGCGUUGUUGGGAUACUACCCUUGUGUUAUGGCUACUCUAACCCAGAUAGGUUAUCCCUAUCGGAGACAGUGUCUGACAGGCAGUUUGACUGGGGCGGUCGCCUCCUAAAAGGUAACGGAGGCGCCCAAAGGUUCCCUCAGAAUGGUUGGAAAUCAUUCGCAGAGUGUAAAGGUAUAAGGGAGCUUGACUGCGAGAGCUACAACUCGAGCAGGGACGAAAGUCGGGCUUAGUGAUCCGGUGGUUCCGUAUGGAAGGGCCAUCGCUCAACGGAUAAAAGCUACCCUGGGGAUAACAGGCUUAUCUCCCCCAAGAGUUCACAUCGACGGGGAGGUUUGGCACCUCGAUGUCGGCUCGUCGCAUCCUGGGGCUGUAGUCGGUCCCAAGGGUUGGGCUGUUCGCCCAUUAAAGCGGCACGCGAGCUGGGUUCAGAACGUCGUGAGAC